UUCCGUUCAAAACACUUGAGAUUGAGUAGUAAUAGUAGAUGUGGGGGGAUUCCACGGACUACACUGCUUAAUGGGGUUACGGU
Non-coding RNA from Caenorhabditis elegans, 83 nucleotides. The record is from Ensembl. NCBI's taxonomy places the organism in Eukaryota, Metazoa, Nematoda, Chromadorea, Rhabditida, Rhabditidae.